GAUGUGACCUCAUCUCAGGCAGGGCUACCCACUGAGUUUAAGC
RNAcentral lists this ribosomal RNA (43 nucleotides) under Stemonocoleus micranthus. Its description in RNAcentral is "partial 26S ribosomal RNA". Lineage: Eukaryota; Viridiplantae; Streptophyta; Magnoliopsida; Fabales; Fabaceae. The record is from RNAcentral.